This 301-nucleotide ribosomal RNA is filed under the name uncultured bacterium. RNAcentral's name for it is "partial 16S ribosomal RNA". It matches the Rfam family "Bacterial small subunit ribosomal RNA", at positions 509 to 807 of the family's 1533-position model. The record is from RNAcentral.
CAGCCGCCACGGUAAUACGAGGGGGGCAAGCGUUGCUCGGAAUGACUGGGCGUAAAGGGCGCGUAGGCGGCGAUCAAAGUCAGGCGUGAAAUUCCUGGGCUCAACCUGGGGGCUGCGCUUGAUACUUGGUUGCUUGAGUGGGGAAGAGGGUCGUGGAAUUCCCAGUGUAGAGGUGAAAUUCGUAGAUAUUGGGAAGAACACCGGUGGCGAAGGCGGCGACCUGGUCCUUUACUGACGCUGAGGCGCGAAAGCGUGGGGAGCAAACAGGAUUAGAUACCCGCGUAGUCCCUGUCUCUUAUAC